Molecule: long non-coding RNA, 865 nt
Organism: Ornithorhynchus anatinus (platypus)
Lineage: Eukaryota; Metazoa; Chordata; Mammalia; Monotremata; Ornithorhynchidae
Exons: 3
Source: RefSeq, a predicted model, not a curated record
GAGCCUGGAUUAGAACGCAGGUCCCUGUGACUCCCAAGCCCGGGCUCUAUCCGCUAAGCCACGCCGCGCCUCAUCGUAGCCCACGGAACAUUUCGAGAAACGUGUCUUCUCUUUUUAAAAAACAUUAAUGAGCUUUCUGGUUCCAAGCCAGGUCUCCUGAAGAGGCCGUUCCAGACUAUUUCCCUUUAAGGACGUCCCACGGGGCACUGGUGUCUACACUUCGCAGCUAAAAUUGGACAAGGAAUGGUUAUUCAGCAGAGAAAGAGUCGUCACGAGGUGUAGGGGAAGCAAACGGACCCUCGAGUUUCUCCCUGGACAGAGCUAAGGCCGGACCGGGCGUGUCUGAACCUGGGUUUCUCGGUUGGUCAUCGGGCAAGUGGCAGUGGCGAGGACCUGGAGACCGCGCCAUGCUGCUUCUCUAGACGCGGCGAGGCUUUUGGCUAACCUCCAUUACCCAAACAGCUGCCUUCAGGAGAGCUGAAAUUGGGAAACUGGAAGUGAAGAAGGCAGAGGAAAAGUUUUAAAGACACGGUCAAACAAAGCCUCAGACCCAGCUGCAUCUCAGCUGAAACCUGGGAGUCGGGGGCCGAGGAUGGAUCGGCGAGGCUCACGACUAUCGAGGAUGGAGUGGCUCUCUUUGAGCAAAAUCUCUGUCUGAAAAGAAAGACAAGGAGGCCAAAGAGAAAACAGCACCAGGCACUGCAAACAUCAAGCACAAAAACGCGAUGUGGCCGGGGCUGUGGAUUCCUCAUUGGCCUUUUCAGUCCCACGUACGCUCGUCAGUGAACUUCAACAGCAGUCAUGUCAUCGUUUUUGUUUUUCUUAAUGAGGAGGACCUGAGGAACGGAAGCGAAGUGACUCGCCC